RNAcentral lists this ribosomal RNA (468 nucleotides) under uncultured bacterium. RNAcentral's name for it is "partial 16S ribosomal RNA". It matches the Rfam family "Bacterial small subunit ribosomal RNA", at positions 28 to 507 of the family's 1533-position model. The record is from RNAcentral.
GACGAACGCUGGCGGCGUGCUUAACACAUGCAAGUCGAACGGAAAGGCCCUGCUUUUGUGGGGUGCUCGAGUGGCGAACGGGUGAGUAACACGUGAGUAACCUGCCCUUGACUUUGGGAUAACUUCAGGAAACUGGGGCUAAUACCGGAUAGGAGCUCCUGCUGCAUGGUGGGGGUUGGAAAGUUUCGGCGGUUGGGGAUGGACUCGCGGCUUAUCAGCUGGUUGGUGGGGUAGUGGCUUACCAAGGCUUUGACGGGUAGCCGGCCUGAGAGGGUGACCGGCCACAUUGGGACUGCGAUACGGCCCAGACUCCUACGGGAGGCAGCAGUGGGGAAUAUUGCACAAUGGGCGGAAGCCUGAUGCAGCAACGCCGCGUGCGGGAUGCCGGCCUUCGGGUUGUAAACCGCUUUCGCCUGUGACGAAGCGUGAGUGACGGUAAUGGGUAAAGAAGCACCGGCUAACUACGUG